This 2595-nucleotide ribosomal RNA is filed under the name Escherichia coli. RNAcentral describes it as "partial 23S ribosomal RNA". It matches the Rfam family "Bacterial large subunit ribosomal RNA", at positions 349 to 2925 of the family's 2925-position model. The record is from RNAcentral. Lineage: Bacteria; Pseudomonadati; Pseudomonadota; Gammaproteobacteria; Enterobacterales; Enterobacteriaceae.
GGCGCGCGAUACAGGGUGACAGCCCCGUACACAAAAAUGCACAUGCUGUGAGCUCGAUGAGUAGGGCGGGACACGUGGUAUCCUGUCUGAAUAUGGGGGGACCAUCCUCCAAGGCUAAAUACUCCUGACUGACCGAUAGUGAACCAGUACCGUGAGGGAAAGGCGAAAAGAACCCCGGCGAGGGGAGUGAAAAAGAACCUGAAACCGUGUACGUACAAGCAGUGGGAGCACAGAGCAAUCUGUGUGACUGCGUACCUUUUGUAUAAUGGGUCAGCGACUUAUAUUCUGUAGCAAGGUUAACCGAAUAGGGGAGCCGAAGGGAAACCGAGUCUUAACUGGGCGUUAAGUUGCAGGGUAUAGACCCGAAACCCGGUGAUCUAGCCAUGGGCAGGUUGAAGGUUGGGUAACACUAACUGGAGGACCGAACCGACUAAUGUUGAAAAAUUAGCGGAUGACUUGUGGCUGGGGGUGAAAGGCCAAUCAAACCGGGAGAUAGCUGGUUCUCCCCGAAAGCUAUUUAGGUAGCGCCUCGUGAAUUCAUCUCCGGGGGUAGAGCACUGUUUCGGCAAGGGGGUCAUCCCGACUUACCAACCCGAUGCAAACUGCGAAUACCGGAGAAUGUUAUCACGGGAGACACACGGCGGGUGCUAACGUCCGUCGUGAAGAGGGAAACAACCCAGACCGCCAGCUAAGGUCCCAAAGUCAUGGUUAAGUGGGAAACGAUGUGGGAAGGCCCAGACAGCCAGGAUGUUGGCUUAGAAGCAGCCAUCAUUUAAAGAAAGCGUAAUAGCUCACUGGUCGAGUCGGCCUGCGCGGAAGAUGUAACGGGGCUAAACCAUGCACCGAAGCUGCGGCAGCGACGCUUAUGCGUUGUUGGGUAGGGGAGCGUUCUGUAAGCCUGCGAAGGUGUGCUGUGAGGCAUGCUGGAGGUAUCAGAAGUGCGAAUGCUGACAUAAGUAACGAUAAAGCGGGUGAAAAGCCCGCUCGCCGGAAGACCAAGGGUUCCUGUCCAACGUUAAUCGGGGCAGGGUGAGUCGACCCCUAAGGCGAGGCCGAAAGGCGUAGUCGAUGGGAAACAGGUUAAUAUUCCUGUACUUGGUGUUACUGCGAAGGGGGGACGGAGAAGGCUAUGUUGGCCGGGCGACGGUUGUCCCGGUUUAAGCGUGUAGGCUGGUUUUCCAGGCAAAUCCGGAAAAUCAAGGCUGAGGCGUGAUGACGAGGCACUACGGUGCUGAAGCAACAAAUGCCCUGCUUCCAGGAAAAGCCUCUAAGCAUCAGGUAACAUCAAAUCGUACCCCAAACCGACACAGGUGGUCAGGUAGAGAAUACCAAGGCGCUUGAGAGAACUCGGGUGAAGGAACUAGGCAAAAUGGUGCCGUAACUUCGGGAGAAGGCACGCUGAUAUGUAGGUGAAGCGACUUGCUCGUGGAGCUGAAAUCAGUCGAAGAUACCAGCUGGCUGCAACUGUUUAUUAAAAACACAGCACUGUGCAAACACGAAAGUGGACGUAUACGGUGUGACGCCUGCCCGGUGCCGGAAGGUUAAUUGAUGGGGUCAGCGCAAGCGAAGCUCUUGAUCGAAGCCCCGGUAAACGGCGGCCGUAACUAUAACGGUCCUAAGGUAGCGAAAUUCCUUGUCGGGUAAGUUCCGACCUGCACGAAUGGCGUAAUGAUGGCCAGGCUGUCUCCACCCGAGACUCAGUGAAAUUGAACUCGCUGUGAAGAUGCAGUGUACCCGCGGCAAGACGGAAAGACCCCGUGAACCUUUACUAUAGCUUGACACUGAACAUUGAGCCUUGAUGUGUAGGAUAGGUGGGAGGCUUUGAAGUGUGGACGCCAGUCUGCAUGGAGCCGACCUUGAAAUACCACCCUUUAAUGUUUGAUGUUCUAACGUGGACCCGUAAUCCGGGUUGCGGACAGUGUCUGGUGGGUAGUUUGACUGGGGCGGUCUCCUCCUAAAGAGUAACGGAGGAGCACGAAGGUUGGCUAAUCCUGGUCGGACAUCAGGAGGUUAGUGCAAUGGCAUAAGCCAGCUUGACUGCGAGCGUGACGGCGCGAGCAGGUGCGAAAGCAGGUCAUAGUGAUCCGGUGGUUCUGAAUGGAAGGGCCAUCGCUCAACGGAUAAAAGGUACUCCGGGGAUAACAGGCUGAUACCGCCCAAGAGUUCAUAUCGACGGCGGUGUUUGGCACCUCGAUGUCGGCUCAUCACAUCCUGGGGCUGAAGUAGGUCCCAAGGGUAUGGCUGUUCGCCAUUUAAAGUGGUACGCGAGCUGGGUUUAGAACGUCGUGAGACAGUUCGGUCCCUAUCUGCCGUGGGCGCUGGAGAACUGAGGGGGGCUGCUCCUAGUACGAGAGGACCGGAGUGGACGCAUCACUGGUGUUCGGGUUGUCAUGCCAAUGGCACUGCCCGGUAGCUAAAUGCGGAAGAGAUAAGUGCUGAAAGCAUCUAAGCACGAAACUUGCCCCGAGAUGAGUUCUCCCUGACUCCUUGAGAGUCCUGAAGGAACGUUGAAGACGACGACGUUGAUAGGCCGGGUGUGUAAGCGCAGCGAUGCGUUGAGCUAACCGGUACUAAUGAACCGUGAGGCUUAACCUU